This 253-nucleotide ribosomal RNA is filed under the name uncultured Lautropia sp. Its description in RNAcentral is "partial 16S ribosomal RNA". It matches the Rfam family "Bacterial small subunit ribosomal RNA", at positions 524 to 776 of the family's 1533-position model. Lineage: Bacteria; Pseudomonadati; Pseudomonadota; Betaproteobacteria; Burkholderiales; Burkholderiaceae. The record is from RNAcentral.
UACGGAGGGUGCAAGCGUUACUCGGAAUCACUGGGCGUAAAGAGCGCGUAGGCGGGAUAGCAAGUCAGAUGUGAAAUCCCCGGGCUUAACCUGGGAACCGCAUAUGUGACUGCUAGGCUAGAGUGCGUCAGAGGGAGGUGGAAUUCCACGUGUAGCAGUGAAAUGCGUAGAUAUGUGGAAGAACACCGAUGGCGAAGGCAGCCUCCUGGGACGCAACUGACGCUCAUACACGAAAGCGUGGGGAGCAAACAGG